This 404-nucleotide unclassified non-coding RNA is filed under the name Hevea brasiliensis (rubber tree). Lineage: Eukaryota; Viridiplantae; Streptophyta; Magnoliopsida; Malpighiales; Euphorbiaceae. The record is from RNAcentral.
CGAGGAGUUGGGCAGCUCGAUGGCUUCGAAUUGCACGGUAUGUCCCUGGUUGUUACACACUUGCUGUAUCUGAGGCACUUCCAGAAGAUUUGCAGAAUCUUUGUGAGGAUGAACAUAUCCCGUAUGCUCCUCCAAAACGCAUCUGAUCCAACAAACCAGCAACGAAAACAUCAGCAGAUUUUGGGUUUUGAUAUGGGAAGUACUCCCAUUUUGCAGCAUCAACGUAAAUCCCGGGACAAAUGCUAUGUAAUUACGAUAACGAAUUACUGAAAUUAUCAUUAACCCCCCUGAUCUGGAAACUACACAUGUUUUAUGUCUGAAUAUCUCUCAGUUAUCUGUGUUUGCAUGCUCAUCUGAUUAACUCUCAUGUAUUGAUGUUGUGUUUAUGUGACACUCAAAUUUUG